AAUGAAGGCCCUCUGGGGUUGUUAAACUUCUUUUUAUCUGGGAAGAAACCCAUCUUUUCUAAGGUGGUUGACGGUACCAGUUGAAUAAGCACCGGCUAACUCCGUGC
RNAcentral lists this ribosomal RNA (107 nucleotides) under uncultured bacterium. RNAcentral describes it as "partial 16S ribosomal RNA". The record is from RNAcentral.